RNAcentral lists this small RNA (118 nucleotides) under Klebsiella pneumoniae. RNAcentral describes it as "RtT RNA". It matches the Rfam family "RtT RNA", at positions 15 to 130 of the family's 130-position model. From Rfam's summary of the family: This family represents a bacterial cis-regulatory element known as RtT RNA. The record is from RNAcentral. Lineage: Bacteria; Pseudomonadati; Pseudomonadota; Gammaproteobacteria; Enterobacterales; Enterobacteriaceae.
CGGAAGGAUGAGAAGCUUCGACUAAGGUUCGACUCGAGCGCAGCGAGAGAACGUUGCCGCAGGCAACGGCCCGAAGGGCGAGGCGCUUUAGCGCCGAGUAAUCCUUCCCCCACCACCA